This is a long non-coding RNA of Pongo abelii (Sumatran orangutan), 2603 nucleotides long. The record is from Ensembl. Lineage: Eukaryota; Metazoa; Chordata; Mammalia; Primates; Hominidae.
AGGGAUCACAGGCAUGAGUCAUCACAUCCAGCCAAAAUCUCUUUUAUCUCACUGCAAGCUUUUAAUUCAUUUCCAAAUAUUAGGAAUUAGUUUGUUUCAUAAGCCUGAAAUAUGUGCAGGAUUUCUGAAAGAUGAUUUCUGUCAGUGUGGAAGCAUGUUGCCUCCAGUCGUUAAAACUUUCAUCAGCUUGUCUAAGAGUUUGAUUCAAUGUCUCAUCGUCCUCCGAUAUGCUACUCUUGCUAGUAAACAAGCAAAAGGAAACUGCUAGGGCUCAGGGUUUGGGUGCUACUGAGUGUUUACAAAUACUCGAGCUGUAGACAAGUGAAUGUUCCCUGACACAGAAGGAAGCAGCUUUAUCCUAGCUGUGCUAAGUGUAUGUGUGUGUGUGUGUGUGGUUGGGGACAUCACUUGCUUCAAAAGACUACAUUAUGUGAUACAAGGAAUAUCUGGAGUCAGACACAACUGCGUCCAAAUUCCAGCUCUGUCUGACCCUGACCUGUUCCUCUUCUUGAGUCUCAGUGUCCUUGACUCUAACACUUGGGUAGUGAGACCUACCCUGAGGGUCACUGAGAGGAAUAAAGGGGCCAUGUGUGUAUAAACUAUAUACCCAGAACCUAGUGGAUGUUCAGCAUGUGGGAUUUCUUACCUUCUCUUUAAAAGUAGGGACAUAGUAAGACUUGUCAUCCUAUGUUAUUGGUCUCCCUCUUGGGCAGAAACCCUAAACAUUCUCCUGCUCUGUCAUCCCCAUGAGCCACAACUCUGCCAAACGGGGCCUGCGGAUUUGGGAGAUCUUGGGAGCUUAGGGGUCAUGGGUGAGUCAGAGCACACACUAUUCAAACUAUUCCGUCAUAGCCUUGGAAUACACAGGAAAGCAACCCUGAGGAAUUUCCAUUAAACAAACAAAGGUUUGCAUCUUUUUUUGAUCUUUGCUUGUCUGGUAAAAGCCUGCUUUUGUUGUCAAGCAUUCCCAGCGGGAACCUAGGGGAGAGAGACAACAGCCAGGAGUCAAGCCCAGGUUCCAGUAGGAAGGCCCAGGGGCCUCACUUGAAAUAGCCACAUCUAACCUUUGUAAAGGCUGCUUCCUGCCCAUGGCUGCAGAGGCCAUUUCCUGUGCUUCUAAUUUUUCCAGGAGAGGAAGAAGCGGGGAGAGACCAACAAUGACCUGUUUCUGGCAGAUGUGUUUUCCUACCAGGGGAAGUUCCAUGAGGCCGCCAAACUGUACAAGAGGAGCGGGCACGAGAACCUCACACUUGAAAUGUGUUGGAAGAAAAGCUGAGUGUUGGGAGAGAAGCUGAGGCAGGGCUUGCAUGUCUGCUAGACUUGCUGCUCCUUGCUUCUAGCAUUCCCAUUAUCUCAAGUAACCAUGUUUCUCAUUCACUUGAUACACUAUUUCCUUUCAACCCCCACAUCCUCACCACCUGUUUGUUUGAGCACCAAUAAAUAGCGUGGGCUCCCAGAGCCUGGGGCCUUUGCAGCCUCCACACUUGUGAUGGCCCCCUGGUCCCACUUUCUCUCUCAGAUUGUCUUUCUCAUUCCUUGGACUCCACUGGACUUCGCCCCCAUGACCUGGUCUUGGGUCUGAUCACCCCAAAAGAAAUGGGGUUUGAGUAUGUUUGAGUAUGCCAAGGUAACCCACCCUGUCACAGGCCCAAGAUCCAGCUUGGAGCCCACUGGUGAUCUCACCCACGGUGUCCAAGUUGUUUUCCCUAAGACUGGUGCAGACAAAAACUAGCAAUGGCCUCAGAAAGGAUGUGGGGAAACUGGUAAACAAAGGACCCAUCUGCAGCCACUGGUUGAAACUCACCUAAAACUGACCUUUAAGACUGACACCAAAGGGGCAGAGUAUGGCAGUUCAGACCUUCAUCAGUGACAGAGCUGGACGGCUGUGGGUCUACACCAGCACAAUCCCUUCAUUGAGUUGAGGGCUCAGGGCUUCAGGGCUGUCUCCCACAAAUCCUCUCAAUCCUUGUCAGGAGCCGCCAAGAAUCGGUGUCUUCAGGUGGGAGCUGGUCCUGCCAAUCAUACAGGAUGACAUGGUGCACACCAGCCAAGGUUCCCUAAGCGCCUGCCAAUUGUCCUGGACUUUGCACUGGGCUUCUGGCAAGUCAGGCAGAGCCUCCGCCCUCCCAUGUUUGCGCAGCAUGCCUCACGCCUGCCGGCUGCAGAGUGGCUACCAUGUGGUUGCAGUGGGUGAUGGCAGAGAUUCCCCUUUGCAUUGGGAUGGCCCCCAUGAACCUUACUCCCCAGCAGAGCCGGGCCUUUUAAGGCAGGUAUAGGAAAGGAGCUUCCUGGACCAGGCUCCUGAUGGCUUCUGUGGGAAGGAGUUGCACUAAGGAGUCCAGACCAGUCAAGACAUUUGCAGUUCAGCCUAAGCAAGGUUCAAAGAGGCUUGGGUGCAUUGAGCAACUACAGUCUUCCUUCUACAGAGGGGCUUUGUUAACCUGCCUUUUCCGGGAGUGUCAAAAGUGGCUCUCAGUAUGUUAUGAAGGGACUCAUCAGCCAUAACCUAUUAGUGGGCUACUAAUGGUAAUUCUCCAGCUCACAAGUUCAAGAUAGAAAAUCUUCCUCACUUUUUUCUGCUUUUCCAGAUAGCUGUGCUCUUC